This is a small nucleolar RNA of Trichechus manatus latirostris (Florida manatee), 81 nucleotides long. RefSeq annotates it as small nucleolar RNA SNORD115. The record is from RefSeq and is a predicted model, not a curated record. Lineage: Eukaryota; Metazoa; Chordata; Mammalia; Sirenia; Trichechidae. The transcript has a single exon.
GGGUCAAUGAUGACACCUACACUUGUCUUGAAGAGAGAUAAUGACAUAAAAAUCAUGCUCAAUAGGAUUACGUUGAGGCCU